Non-coding RNA from Cyanistes caeruleus (blue tit), 279 nucleotides. The record is from RefSeq and is a predicted model, not a curated record. NCBI's taxonomy places the organism in Eukaryota, Metazoa, Chordata, Aves, Passeriformes, Paridae.
UUCCUCAGAUUUGUGUGCAUAAUACUGAGUUUCAGCAUCAAAUGGGAGAUUGUUGGAGAAGAUACAGUGAUCAGCCUGAAAGUGUAACUGGCAGUAAAAACCCACUGAGAAGACCAAAAUGUUUUCCAGAAAAAAUGUGCAGUCAACAAAUUUGUAAUUCCGACCAGGGCAAAAGGACAAGACCAAACAAAGAUGAGACAGAAGUAUGGCGAUUAAAUUCAGAGGAAGACUACGAGCAUCCAAGUCACAAUCACAGAGAUAAAAGGUCUUGUUCCUGCA